Tarenaya hassleriana is the source of this 1855-nucleotide RNA transcript. RefSeq lists it as uncharacterized. The transcript has 7 exons. The record is from RefSeq and is a predicted model, not a curated record. Lineage: Eukaryota; Viridiplantae; Streptophyta; Magnoliopsida; Brassicales; Cleomaceae.
CAUGUCUCCAUGUUUCCUUCACCCACUCUCGUGCCCCACCCCCUAUGCUACUCACCCACCAAUCAACGUCAUCUCCUUCUUCUUUUUAUAUGCCUUACCUCUUCUCCUCCUUCUUAAUUUCUCUGCGCUCUCUCCCUUACUCUAACUCUUCCUCCAGCAGAAACUCACAACCAAGCACUUGAUCAAAGAACGUUAUUAUCACGAACGGAGUCGGGCGAAGAAAAAACUCAAUCCAAAAUUAACCCACGACCCUCUAAGAGACAAAGGAACUCAACGGUCGUGAGCAGCAGUAGCCGAGGAGCGGACACCGGAGACCUGGGCAGCUUACCACUACUGAUCAUUAGCUAUGCCUCCACGACGUGCUGCACCUGUGCAACGACCUCAAGGACCGAGGGCACCUCCGCCGAAUAACGACAUGGCAGAAAUGCAACGACAAUUCGCAUUGUUCCAAGGGAACGUCUGGCAGUUCAUACGAGGAUGCAUGCAACCGCCACCGCCACCGCCACCGCCACCGCCUGCUGCUCCACCGGCAGCAAGGCCGGAAGGAGGUUUACCACCACCACCACCGAUGCCUGCACCUCAGGGGAUGCCAGGGCAAGUUGUAGUGGACUACUUGCCAUUCGUCAAGGAACUCCGAGCCUUGGGCACUCCGGAGUUUGAGGGUUCUCUUAGCCCGGAGGCAGCAGAAGACUGGAUGAUCAAGAUCACCCACCACUUCAACUAUAUCAGGUGCCCGCUGGGAUACCGCACUGAGUUAGCGAGCCAUCAUCUGGCUGGCGCGGUUCGCCACUGGUGGGAGGAAGUUGUACGUGAGGCUCCCGCAGGACACCAAUUCUCGUGGGAAGAGUUCCGGGCGAAGUUCGAGCAGAAGUACUACCGGAGGCAAGAUCAGAGUCACCGUAUUACGGAAUUCCUUCGUCUUGAACAGGGAAACAUGACUGUUCGAGAGUACGAAGCGGAAUUCAACCGGUUGCUGAAGUAUGGAGGCCAUCUAGUGCCAACUGAGGAGUACAAGAUCCAGAAAUUCAUUGCUGGGUUACGUGCUUCUCUCAGGAGAAUGAUCGAGUGUCAUGAAUACCCUACGUUGAGUCGGUAUAUCAACCAACUCGACAAGGUGGAACGCAGCGAGAAGGAGAGGAUGGAAGCAAAGAGACAAGAUCGUGGUCCCUACAGGAGAGUGCCAAUCAACCGUCCCCCGAUGAGAGUUGGACAGACGAGUCAACCCCGCGACAAGGGGAAGGCUCCGGCGUAUCGUCCCACGACCCCGGCUCAGCCAAUACAAUAUAAAAGGCCAUGUGCUAAGUGUGGUCGAGACCAUACUGGACCCUGUGGUAACACCAUGACAUGUUACCGCUGCGGUCAACCAGGGCAUUUUGCUGCGAGAUGCACUGCGAACAUAGCUCCUCAGACCAACAACAAGCCACCGCGUCCAGCACAAGGGAGAUCGGGUGUGGCUCCUAGAGUUUAUGCUCUCACAGCUGAGGAGGAUGUCCAGGAGGAGCCAUACACUGUGGAGGAGCCAUUUGCUGCAGAGCCAUUGACCACUUACGAGGCCACUGAUGAAGAGUAUGUGGAGGAGGCUGAUGUUGCCGCUAUCACAGACCCAGAGGAGCUCUAGAAAGUUCCCUACUCAUCAUCCAAUUCGCUACCCACUACUCGCAGCCCGCAAGCAUAACCCGAGGUCGUGAGCAGCAGUAGCCGAGGAGCGGACACCGGAGACCUGGGCAGCUUACCACUACUGAUCAUGUAUAAUUAUGUAUUUUUAAUACAUCUAUAUUCUGGGAAACAAUUUGUUUUUAUAUCGGUGGUUGACUUUUAAGGUUUGUAAUAAUGUUAUACUACCACUCGAUUAUGU